CGCUGGCGGCACGCUUAACACAUGACAAGUCGAACGAAAUGUUUCACCGUAGCUUGCUACACCGAGACAUUUUAGUGGCGGACGGGUGAGUAACACGUGAGGAACCUGCCUAUCAGAGAGGGAUACCGUUUGGAAACGAACGUUAAUACCUCAUAACGUAACGAGAUCGCAUGAUAAUGUUACCAAAGAUUUAUCGCUGAUAGAUGGCCUCGCGUCUGAUUAGAUAGUUGGUGAGGUAACGGCUCACCAAGUCGACGAUCAGUAGCCGGACUGAGAGGUUGAAACGGCCACAUUGGGACUGAGACACGGCCCAGACUCCUACGGGAGGCAGCAGUGGGGAAUAUUGCACAAUGGAGGAAACUCUGAUGCAGCGAUGCCGCGUGAGGGAAGAAGGUUUUCGGAUUGUAAACCUCUGUCUUCAGGGACGAUAAUGACGGUACCUGAGGAGGAAGCUCCGGCUAACUACGUG
RNAcentral lists this ribosomal RNA (469 nucleotides) under uncultured bacterium. Its description in RNAcentral is "bacterial SSU rRNA". It matches the Rfam family "Bacterial small subunit ribosomal RNA", at positions 34 to 507 of the family's 1533-position model. The record is from RNAcentral.